Cynoglossus semilaevis (tongue sole) is the source of this 1607-nucleotide long non-coding RNA. RefSeq lists it as uncharacterized. The record is from RefSeq and is a predicted model, not a curated record. Lineage: Eukaryota; Metazoa; Chordata; Actinopteri; Pleuronectiformes; Cynoglossidae. The transcript has 6 exons.
CUGCACCAACGGGCUUCAUCUGACACUGAUGAAUAGAAGACAUGUACGAGACUUUAAUCAAGAAUAUACGAUAUAAUAUUGUAUGAUAAAAAUAUGUUAUUUUCCAUUUGUUGAUUAAAACAACAGCCGAAGCUACAAAUCAUGAGAUCCCUUAUUAAAUCUUACCUCAAAUGACCCAAACAGUGUGUGAUGGUCCGGUUAUUUAUGACAUUAAUUCAUAAGCUCGUAGUCAAAUGGCUGAAUGCCAACACCUGGGUUAAAUUAAGGAGUCAUUUCUGCUGGAUGUGAACCAGGUUUUGGCCAUAAAUAUUUGAUUGUCUGUGAGUGAUGCAGCAGUUUUUAUCUCUCAGUGAAAAGGUCACCAGUUCUCAUCCUAUAUUUACAGCCUUCUCUAGCUGCUGUAGAGAGGCAGAUGAUCUGAGUUGAUCUGCAGUGAGGAGCUGAGAGGAGGAGCAGUAAUCAAGCAGAUGAGGAGCAGGUGUGCAGUGAACAAAGACAGAAAAGAAGGGAAUCAGUAAGAAAUUCAAAGUGAAAAGAUUGGGAAUCAAAUGGGACAAGUGAAAAGACGUUCCUGGGAAAGCUGAAGACGGUGUUCCUCCUCCUGGAAUGGCUGUUCCUCGGGAGGCAGGACUGGUUGUUGCAUUGAGAGCAGAUGUGAAAUAUAAACCACCAAGACUGAAGAAAGGAGUGAAGGAGAGGAGACAGAGGAGUGGUAGAUUGUAGCCUAUGGCUGCAGAGGCAGUGGAAGCUGUGAGUGAAAAUCCUCCCUCGUGUUCAAAUCAUCGCAGCUGAGACCAAACUGCCUUUGGAUUUUAUUUCCGAGCCAUAAAGAAAUAAUCAUCAGGAAGAAGAGGGAACGUCGCAGCGAGAGGAAAUCAAUUCAUCUUCUAUGAUUAAUGGAGAAACACUUCACUGAGGCUCACACUGGGUAGAAUUCCAGACAGAUGAUGAAAACUACUGCGAUGAACUUGGUGAAUAUGGAUCAGAAACAUUUUUAAAAAACGGUGUUUCUUGGAAAUCUUUCAGGCCCAUGGCAGAACUCCGAUGUCCACUUAUCAUUGGUUGAUCCACACGGUUGAUACGAUUAUUCUUACUCACUGUAGGGAACAGUUUGAAUUUCACCAAAGCAGCUCAUGCUUAAAAUAUAACUUCAUCCCCCAUCAUGCAUAGGGUCAGAGCAGCUGUGAAAAAAAAGCAAAAUAAAAAUGUAUUUUUUUCUUCCAAAUUUAAAUUAUUAAUUAUGAACCACAGCUGCAGUUCGAUUAGUCAGUUAAACUGUUUAACAUUCCUAAUGUCAUUUAUUUGUGAUAAUAAUGAGCUACACUGACCCACCGAGAGGUAAAAAAACCCAACAAAUAAUCCAUGGGUUUAAUGAAUUGAAUGAAUUUAAAAUAAAUACAUUUUGUGCUUUUAUACUGCUUUAUGGCUUUCACCCUAAAACGGAGAACCUCCGGUGUCUGGUUGUCCAAGAAUGAUCUUGGGCUGAGGACAAGGACCCUGGAGGCCCAGCAGACAGGACAGUUGGUCAGACAGGACAGUUGGUCAGACAGGACAGCAGCCAAAUCUGGUGACAGGUGGCAGGAAACUCUACUGGUGGCAGCAGCAGC